AUGGGUGGCUGGUCGUUGCUUGAGAACUACACAGUGGACGCGAGCAUCUGUGGCCAAGUUUUUAAGGGCGCACGGUGGAUGCCUUGGCACCAGGAACCGAUGAAGGACGUGGGAGGCCACGAUAGUCCCC
This 130-nucleotide ribosomal RNA is filed under the name Streptomyces violaceus. Its description in RNAcentral is "partial 23S ribosomal RNA". Lineage: Bacteria; Bacillati; Actinomycetota; Actinomycetes; Kitasatosporales; Streptomycetaceae. The record is from RNAcentral.